GUGCUUGCUUCAGCAGCACAUAAACUGAAAGUGGAACGAUACAGAGCAGAUUAACAUGACCCCUGCACAAGGAUGACAUGCAAAUUCGUGACGUGUUCCAUAUUUUU
This is a small nuclear RNA of Suncus etruscus (white-toothed pygmy shrew), 107 nucleotides long. The record is from RefSeq and is a predicted model, not a curated record. Lineage: Eukaryota; Metazoa; Chordata; Mammalia; Eulipotyphla; Soricidae.